This 497-nucleotide ribosomal RNA is filed under the name uncultured bacterium. RNAcentral describes it as "partial 16S ribosomal RNA". It matches the Rfam family "Bacterial small subunit ribosomal RNA", at positions 28 to 507 of the family's 1533-position model. The record is from RNAcentral.
GAUGAACGCUGGCGGCGUGCCUAAUACAUGCAAGUCGAGCGAACAGACGAGGAGCUUGCUCCUCUGACGUUAGCGGCGGACGGGUGAGUAACACGUGGAUAACCUACCUAUAAGACUGGGAUAACUUCGGGAAACCGGAGCUAAUACCGGAUAACAUGUUGAACCGCAUGGUUCAACAGUGAAAGACGGUCUUGCUGUCACUUAUAGAUGGAUCCGCGCCGCAUUAGCUAGUUGGUAAGGUAACGGCUUACCAAGGCAACGAUGCGUAGCCGACCUGAGAGGGUGAUCGGCCACACUGGAGCUGAGACGCGGUCCAGACUCCUACUGGAGGCAGCAGUAGGGAAUCUUCCGCAAUGGGCGAAAGCCUGACGGAGCAACGCCGCGUGAGUGAAGAAGGUCUUCGGAUCGUAAAACUCUGUUAUUAGGGAAGAACAAAUGUGUAAGUAACUAUGCACGUCUUGACGGUACCUAAUCAGAAAGCCACGGCUAACUACGUG